CCUACGGGAGGCAGCAGUGAGGAAUAUUGGUCAAUGGGCGUAAGCCUGAACCAGCGAAGUCGCGUGAGGGAUGAAGGUUCUAUGGAUCGUAAACCUCUUUUAUAAGGGAAUAAAGUUCGGGACGUGUCCCGUUUCGUAUUUACCUUAUGUAUAAGGAUCGGCUUAAUCCGGUCCAGCAGCCGCGGGAAUACGGAGGAUCCGAACGUUAUCCGGGUUUAUUUGGUUUAAAGUGUGCGUAGGCGGCCUUUUAAGUCAGCGGUGAAAGUCUGUGGCUCAACCCUAGGAUUGCCGUUGAAACUGGGAGGCUAGAGUAAGUUAGAGGCAAGCGGAAUGCGAGGUGAAGCGGUGAAAUGCUUAGAUA
This 361-nucleotide ribosomal RNA is filed under the name uncultured bacterium. RNAcentral describes it as "partial 16S ribosomal RNA". It matches the Rfam family "Bacterial small subunit ribosomal RNA", at positions 338 to 696 of the family's 1533-position model. The record is from RNAcentral.